RNAcentral lists this ribosomal RNA (305 nucleotides) under uncultured bacterium. Its description in RNAcentral is "bacterial SSU rRNA". It matches the Rfam family "Bacterial small subunit ribosomal RNA", at positions 337 to 639 of the family's 1533-position model. The record is from RNAcentral.
GCCUACGGGAGGCAGCAGUGAGGAAUAUUGGUCAAUGGGAGAGAUCCUGAACCAGCCAAGUCGCGUGAGGGAAGACGGUCCUAUGGAUUGUAAACCUCUUUUGUCGGGGAGCAAAGAGAUCACGUGUGGUCAAAAGCGAGAGUACCCGAAGAAAAAGCAUCGGCUAACUCCGUGCCAGCAGCCGCGGUAAUACGGAGGAUGCGAGCGUUAUCCGGAUUUAUUGGGUAUAAAGGGUGCGUAGGCGGGACGGUAAGUCAGCGGUAAAAAUGCGGAGCUCAACUCCGUCGAGCCGUUGAAACUGCCGU